Molecule: ribosomal RNA, 654 nt
Filed under: uncultured archaeon
Lineage: Archaea
Description: bacterial SSU rRNA
Rfam family: Archaeal small subunit ribosomal RNA
Source: RNAcentral
GCCUAAAGCGUCCGUAGCCUGUUUUGUCAGUUUUCGGUUAAAUCCAUACGCUUAACGUAUGGGCUGCCGGAAAUACUGCAAAACUAGGGAGUGGGAGAGGUAGACGGUACUCGGGAGGAAGGGGUAAAAUCCUUUGAUCUCUCGAUGACCACCUGUGGCGAAGGCGGUCUACCAGAACACGUCCGACGGUGAGGGAUGAAAGCUGGGGGAGCAAACCGGAUUAGAUACCCGGGUAGUCCCAGCUGUAAACUAUGCAAACUCAGUGAUGCAUUGGCUUGAUGCUAAUGCAGUGUUGCAGGGAAGCCGUUAAGUUUGCCGCCUGGGAAGUACGUACGCAAGUAUGAAACUUAAAGGAAUUGGCGGGGGAGCACCACAAGGGGUGAAGCCUGCGGUUCAAUUGGAGUCAACGCCAGAAAUCUUACCCGGAGAGACAGCAGAAUGAAGGUCAAGCUGAAGACUUUACCAGACAAGCUGAGAGGUGGUGCAUGGCCGUCGCCAGCUCGUGCCGUGAGAUGUCCUGUUAAGUCAGGUAACGAGCGAGAUCCUUGCCUCUAGUUGCCACCAUUACUCUCAGGAGUAGUGGGGCGAAUUAGCGGGACCGCCGUAGUUAAUACGGAGGAAGGAAGGGGCCACGGCAGGUCAGUAUGCCCCGAA